GUUGACCUUCCAUGCAAAGAUUCAUGUUUUCUUCGGUAAUUAACUCAGAAAAAAAACUUUAUGGCUGUUUUAUAUAUAUACAUAAAUACCUGGAAUUAUUCUUGAGACGUUAAUUAGACAGAAGAGCAAUGUUAAAAAACAGAGUGGCAAAAAUACGUGAUAUUAAAAUAAAACUAUAUGAACCGAAUGCAGUCAAGUAAUAAUAAUCACUGCAUUAUAUUCAUUCGUUCACCGGAUAGAGCAUAUCCGGUCCUUGAAUAACGCUUGUGAUUAAAGAUACUAUACUAAGCAACUUUCAAGAGGAAAUGUAGAAAAUAUAAAUAACAAUUCAUUUAGAAAAUUAUAAUAUAAUUUUCAAAAUUUCUUUCAUUCGUUACAAUCGCAGAAUUUGAAUAUUCUUAAUAUAAAUGUAUAAUAUGUGCAUGUUCUAAAUUAAAUUUAAUGUUAGUAAAUUAUUUAUUCCAUGACGAAUUUUUAUAAAAGAUAAAAAUAAUUUUAUUUUUCUUGUCUUAUGUAUUACUUUCUUACUGUGAUAUUUUAAUUUUUUUUUGCACGUGGAUUUUCUGCUUCGUAACCGUGCGGAGAUAUUGGAUUUCUAGCAGGAUUAUGAAAUAAGGUAUGCUUGCCAUCACCCCAUGGGAAAGGCUAGGAUGAAAAUAUUUAUAAAUCAUUUAUAUGGACAAGUUUGGUAAUAAAAUUAGUUACAAAAUAUUAUAAAAUUGUCAAUUAUAAAAAAAUAUUCAAAACAAAAAAAGAAAAAAAAAAAUAAAGAAGAGAAAAA
Molecule: long non-coding RNA, 781 nt
Organism: Apis cerana (Asiatic honeybee)
Lineage: Eukaryota; Metazoa; Arthropoda; Insecta; Hymenoptera; Apidae
Source: RefSeq, a predicted model, not a curated record